Long non-coding RNA from Ceratosolen solmsi marchali, 470 nucleotides. RefSeq lists it as uncharacterized. The transcript has 3 exons. NCBI's taxonomy places the organism in Eukaryota, Metazoa, Arthropoda, Insecta, Hymenoptera, Agaonidae. The record is from RefSeq and is a predicted model, not a curated record.
CAUUCUCAUUCACUCACUCUCAUUCACUCAUUCUCACGAUUGCGGGAGAGCGUGUGAGCACGCAUCAGCAAUCCCGCGAUGGACCAGCGGCGGCCGCUCGCCAAGUGACGACGAACACGACGAGGACGAUACGACGAGGAGAAGAGCCUGCGAAACUUCCAGCCGAGCGAUCUAGCGAUCGAAGUAGAAGUGGUCGACUCGAGCCGACGGAUAGCCCGAGCAUUUGCGCGCGACCGUCGGCAGCCGCUCCCCGAUGGAUUCUAUUUUAUUAGUUUCAGAUUUAAAACCGAUAGAUUUUGAUAAACCUAUUUAACGACCAUGAUAAUAAAAAAGACGUCUGGUUCGCAUACCAAGCAGGAGAGCAGUGUGAGCACAGUGGCUGGUCAGCUGAGCCAGAGUCCUCAGCACCAGCAUCACCAUCACCAACAACAGCAACAGCAACAGCAGCAACAACAGCAGCAACAGCAACA